Molecule: non-coding RNA, 4037 nt
Organism: Ictidomys tridecemlineatus (thirteen-lined ground squirrel)
Lineage: Eukaryota; Metazoa; Chordata; Mammalia; Rodentia; Sciuridae
Source: RefSeq, a predicted model, not a curated record
CACCCCUAACGCUACGGCUGCCGCCCUCUCCGCUGUCUGCCCUCUCCUGCUCCAGCUCCGGAACUCCCCUCGGCUCUACCUUCCCCCGGGCGCUUCCCUCCGCCCCCUCCCCGCAGCCCGCCGCUCGGACCGCGCUCGCCGCCACCUCCCCCUCCCCGCAGGCGGCCUCCGCAGAGCUCCGACCGGCCGGUGUGCCUCGCUCUCUUCGUUUCCUUUUUCUCUACCUGCCCCCUUCCAGAUCCGCAGUCCCCUUCUCUCCACCACCGAGCACACGAGCCCCCUUCCCAGUCCCUCCUUAUUUUGUAACUAACUUAACACUUUCCCCAGGUCUGGUCCUUAGCCUUUGCCCUACAGCUCAGCUCCUUAAAGCUUCCAGAUUGCCAAACUUUUAUGGUAAUUAUGGACCGUAACUCUGCCCUUAACACCCAUGCCCUCCAGGAUGCCGCGGACCUGCCCGAGCCCCCCCUGAUUGCAGGAAGCAAACCAGGAAGUCGGAGCUACAGCUGCCGCAGCAGCAGCUCCACGUGGCUGAUUUAUAGCUGGGAGGAUUUUUUUUUCCAUAUAUAUAUUGAUCUUGCUUUUUCACACGGCUUCUAGAGGAGGUGGAUUUGUAACCGAAAGGCUCAGGUGAGAUGUGCAAAUAUCACUGAACUAGAGGAGCUCACUUGGAAAGCCAGUAUUACUCUUGCCCUUGAGCUAAUUAGAAGAAAGCCAAUUGUCUUCUGCUAAUAAGCAGUGAAUCCUUGAUCUUAGAUUUCUACCCAGAGAAAACAGUUUCAGUUUUUAAGACAAUACUUACCCCUUAUUGUUUCCCUCACACCUGAUUUUUGCCUCUUGAUGGACUUUCCUUUUCUGUCCAUGAGACCUGACGCCCUUGAAAGGAUGUUGGUAAUUACCAAGCCCCUUCUCAAGGAAAUAUUGUGCCCAUAUCUUCCAACAAAGAUGUCCAUCACUAUAUAUCAUGGAGUGUAUGUUAUUGCAUUAUUAGUGUGCCAUACGCUGAAAUGCCUAAUUAAACAGAAUGUUUAAAAUUUUGUCCUUUGUUUUAGUAUGGUCAAAGUAUACUUUUUCAUAAUAUUACUUCAAAUCUGCAAGGGUUUUUUUGUUGUUUUGCUUUUGGGGUUUAAAACAAGUAAAACCUGGUUAUUUAGUCUGCCUCAGUGAUUAAACCUUGCAUUUGUGCUCUCAUUUUCACAGUCAGAAAGACAAUCUUUUGUUAUGAAUAAAAUCAGAAGCUUGAUUUUUGCUGUUAUAAACAUAGCUGCUCAGUAUACAAAUGGAAAGUGGUACUUAUGGCUAAAGCCGUUUGAAUGGUUCUUUUAGAGUAUUCUAGGGAGAUCCUGCCAUCACCACUUGCACACAGAACUGGAAAUACAAAUGAAAAGGCCACAAAGUUAGAAAUUAAUCAAUGUGUAUACAGUAGUAAAAGACCAUAUUUCUCUGAAUUCUAACAAUGUUUAAAAGAAACCUAACAUACACCUUAAAAUAAAUGGCUUUUACCACAUUUGCUGGGAUGCAGCUUUCGAAGAGUUGACAAGUCUGUUGAGAAAGAAGAUGAGAAGCUACAUUCAAAGCUUAGGUCAGGAUUUCACUGAAGAAAGACUCAGGUUCUCAGCAGAAUGGUUAAAUGACCAGAAAGUCUUCAGAACUGAAAUUUGUCAAGGUAUUACUGUAAAUCCUAUUACAGUUUGUGCAUAUGAACUUCUGCAUCAGUGAACAGACGGUUAGUUUCAAACAGCUGUCAGUUUAUUAUCACAUCCCUCCAGAGAUCUUGCUUAUCCAGUUAAGCCCAGAACCUCACAGUGUUUAAUGUGAGAAUCUGAUUCCUACAAGGCAAAUUGGACUCUGUUUUGUUAAUAUUGAUAAUCUCUCAGCAUAAUUUAUGCAGUGGAUGGAAUGGAGAGAAAUGAUGUCAGUAAAAGUGCCAGAGAACCCAUGCUGCCAUAUGUAAAAUGAAAGAUUUGUCUGGACCACAGUGGGUGUAGCUGGAUAAGCAAAAUCUCUGUAGGGAUAUGCAGGUGUUUAGACCUAGAGAGCCGGACCAAGGAGGAAGCAAUUCUCCUGUGCUUAUCCAAGAUGAGAUGUAGAGCCUACAGAACAACCUGAUAGGAACAGCAUAGAAGUAGUUUAUAUCAUCUUCAUUUUCUAAUUGGUUUUUGAUUAGUUUAAAUAAGAUUUGGAUUAUUUUUAAUAAUGAACUCUAUUCCUACAUACCUUUUUAGAUACUUCAGAGGAGAUAAACAGAAUUGAAUAUAAAUAAAGAGAUCUUGAGACAGACAGUCAAGAGAUUGUAUAGGAAGGUUAUCUAGGAAUUAGAGGCUCUAUAGGAACUAGUUACCUGUCAAUUGCAAACUUUUAUUUUCCAUCUAUGCCAUGCUGCUUCUCAGUGAUGCCUGGAAAUUUUUUUUUCUCUUUUUUUUUUUAAAGUUAUUUCCCAAUAACUGAACAGUGAACAAGUCCCUUUUUCUCUUUUAUUUGAACACAUGACUCUAUAUUAAAUGAGAUUAGAGAGCCACACCAGGGAAUUGUGGGCCAAGAGUGCAGAUCUUCAGGGGAGUUCAAAAUACUGUCAUUUAGAUAAAUGUACCUUUUGGCAUAUUGCAAAGAGUUUUGAAAUUUGAAUUUUAAUUACAUUUCUUUUUGGAGAGUGGUCUUUGAGGACUCAGUCUUUUGGGAUGGCUUCUAUUUCUCAAACCUUAUAACAUCAUUUUUAAUGAAGUGAAUCCUUUCCUGUGAUCUUUUAUUAUAUAUUUAUAGAUUUUCUAGUCAACCUGUUAUUUGAGCACAUUUGAUGUGCUAGCCAUUGUUCUUAGAUGCUGGGAAUAUAGUAAUAAAAGCAAAAAUUCUUGUCCUCUUGGCAUUAGCCAAUAAACCAAUAUGUAAAUUAAUUAUUAUAUAUUGUCAUGAAACAAAAAGUCAGUUGUGUCAAACAUUUGUUCUAAAAAGUUUACAAAGAAUAACUUUUAUUUUAGAUGGUAUAUUAGAAGAUAAGUGUUAUAGAGAGAAAUAAAGCAGAAAAAUGGAAUAUGAAAUGCUGGAUGAGGAUGAGGGGAGGUUUCCACUUUAAGUAGCCUGAGAUGUCACAGAGAAGAUAACAUUGAACAAAACCUGAAAGUGGUGGGAAAACAAGCCAAGUGAAUAUCUCAAGAGAGAUGGCUCCUAUCUGGCAUGAAGAGCAAUAGAUACAAAGGUCCUAAGGCAAGAAUGUCUGAGGAGAAGCAAGGACAGGGGAGCUAAGGCUGAGAAAGCGAAGGAAGAAAAUUGAAUCCUAGUACUCACUGUGGCUUUUAUUUAGAGGUGGGAAGACACUGGACCAUUUAGUGCAGAGUGGUGGCAUGAUCUAACAUAUCUGAAUAGAAUCACCAUGGAGCAAGAAGGUGGGAAAGGAAAGGAUUAAAUAAAUAAAAAAGACACACCUUCUGGGUUUGGUUUGGAAAGAAACAAAGAAAUUUUAAUAAUCCAGGUGAAAGAUUAUGGCAGCAUAGACUAAGGAUUAUAACAGUAGCAGUCCUUAGAAUAGGCCAGAAUAUGGAUAUAUUUGAUUCUUUUUCAACCAUUAUGGUUCCAAAUAAUUAAGUUUAUUGUUUUGCUUUUGUGCUAUCUGUAAGUAGUUAAAUUAAUAACCUGUAAAGCAAUUCUAAAUGCUUUAACAACACACAGAAACUAUAAACAAUUACUCAAUCAUUUGUUUAACGUCUUUUGUUAAGAUUUUCAUGUAUUACAAUAUAUUUUCAAAUGGAACAUCCUGUAUUUACAAAUUAUAUGUCCCAUGCAACAAUAGUAGCACUUGAGGUGCCAGGAUCAACCGCUCUGUUGAAAACAACUGAAAAUACCAGGGAGGUGAGAUCUACUUGGAAGAAGAAGGUCACUGGGAUGUGCCAUGGAAGAGUUUAUCUUCUCCCUGGUCCCUUGCCCUCCCACCCUCUGCUCCCCAGAUGCCAUGAGAUAAGCAGCUUUUCUCUUUCGUGUCAUCUGCCAUGAUAUUUUUGCUCAGAACCAGCCAACCAUGGACUGAAGUCUCUGAAACUAUGAUCCAA